GAUUUGUUUUUUAAUUUGAAAAUAGUAUGAAAGGAUCCACUAUUAAAUAUUGUAUUAUUUUUAAAAAAUGAAAUUAAUUUAUUAAUGCAAAUUUUAAUAUAAAUUUUUAAGACGAUAAGACCCUAAGAAUCUUCAUUUAAAAUAAAAAUAGUUUUAAUUAAAUCAAAGUUUUAAAUUUAAUUGGGGAAAUAAUUAAUAUUAAUAUUUAUUAUUUUUGUUUUAUUUAGAUCCUAAAAGAGACACUGAAAAAGAUACUCUAGGGAUAACAGCAUAAUAUUUAAUCAAGUCCUUAUUUAGAUAAAUGA
Molecule: ribosomal RNA, 305 nt
Filed under: Paraheterorhabdus longispinus
Lineage: Eukaryota; Metazoa; Arthropoda; Copepoda; Calanoida; Heterorhabdidae
Description: partial 16S rRNA
Source: RNAcentral